CUAGAACUUCGGGGCAGUGAAAUGCAGCGUCUAUCCCUGUUACUGGUCACUAAGCCUGGAUUCUUUACUCUGCACAGAUGGGAAUUAGAAGCAGAGAAACUCUCAGAUUGCUGGGUUUCGUUUACACAUCCAUUCUGUUAGUCUGUGUCUUUUUAUUGGAGAGAAGAAGACAUCAGAAGAAGAAGAAAACAGGAAACAACCUAGGAACCUGCCACAGAGGGCCUCUGAAAGGCUCUACCCUGCAGACUAUCAAAGCAGACACUGAGUCUUAUGGCCAACUGUUGGUCAGCGUGAGUGCAUGGAAUCUUAUGUAAGAACUGGGAAAUAGUAAGAUCUGGAGAGGACAGGAACCCCACAAGGAGAGCAACAGAACCAGAAAAUUUGAACAUAGGGGUCUUCCCAGAGAUUCAUACUCCAACCAAGUACCAGAUCACCUCCCCCUGAGGGAAGAGCAGCCUUACCAGGCCACAGAAGAUGACAAUGCAGCCAUUCCUGAUAUGAUCUGCUAGACUAAGAUCAGAAGGAAGGAGAAGAGGACCUCCCCUAUCAGUGGACCUGGGGAGGGGCAUUCAUGAAGAAGGAGGAGGGAGGAUGGGAC
Long non-coding RNA from Meriones unguiculatus (Mongolian gerbil), 598 nucleotides. RefSeq lists it as uncharacterized. The transcript is spliced from 3 exons. NCBI's taxonomy places the organism in Eukaryota, Metazoa, Chordata, Mammalia, Rodentia, Muridae. The record is from RefSeq and is a predicted model, not a curated record.